UUCCAGACUCCUACGGGAGGCAGCAGUGAGGAAUAUUGGUCAAUGGCCGGAAGGCUGAACCAGCCAAGCCGCGUGAAGGACGAAGGUGCCAAGCAUUGUAAACUUCUUUUGUCAAGGGACAAAAUCAGGCUCGAGAGCCUGACCGAGGGUACUUGAAGAAAAAGCAUCGGCUAACUCCGUGCCAGCAGCCGCGGUAAUACGGAGGAUGCGAGCGUUAUCCGGAUUUAUUGGGUUUAAAGGGUGCGUAGGCGGGCUGUUAAGUCAGCGGUAAAAGCCCGGGGCUCAACCCCGCCCAGCCGUCGGAACUGCCGGGCUAGAGUGGGCGAGAAGUGCGCGGAAUGCGUGGUGUAGCGGUGAAAUGCAUAGAUAUCACGCAGAACUCCGAUUGCGAAGGCAGCGCACCGGCGCCCUACUGACGCUCAGGCACGAAAGCGUGGGUAUCGAACAGGAUUAGAUACCCCUGUA
This 465-nucleotide ribosomal RNA is filed under the name uncultured bacterium. Its description in RNAcentral is "partial 16S ribosomal RNA". It matches the Rfam family "Bacterial small subunit ribosomal RNA", at positions 329 to 792 of the family's 1533-position model. The record is from RNAcentral.